This 503-nucleotide ribosomal RNA is filed under the name uncultured bacterium. Its description in RNAcentral is "partial 16S ribosomal RNA". It matches the Rfam family "Bacterial small subunit ribosomal RNA", at positions 30 to 523 of the family's 1533-position model. The record is from RNAcentral.
AUUGAACGCUGGCGGCAGGCUUAACACAUGCAAGUCGAGCGGGGUGAUGGUGCUUGCACUAUCACUUAGCGGCGGACGGGUGAGUAAUGCUUAGGAAUCUGCCUAUUAGUGGGGGACAACAUCUCGAAAGGGAUGCUAAUACCGCAUACGUCCUACGGGAGAAAGCAGGGGAUCACUCGUGACCUUGCGCUAAUAGAUGAGCCUAAGUCUGAUUAGCUAGUUGGUGGGGUAAAGGCCUACCAAGGCGACGAUCGGUAGCGGGUCUGGGAGGAUGAUCCGCCACACUGGGACUGAGACACGGCCCAGACUCCUACGGGAGGCAGCAGUGGGGAAUAUUGGACAAUGGGGGGAACCCUGAUCCAGCCAUGCCGCGUGUGUGAAGAAGGCCUUAUGGUUGUAAAGCACUUUAAGCGAGGAGGAGGCUCUUUUGGUUAAUACCCAAGAUGAGUGGACGUUACUCGCAGAAUAAGCACCGGCUAACUCUGUGCCAGCAGCCGCGGUAA